AGCUAGAGAUCGGGAAUUCCAUUUACAUUCUUAAUCACUACAUAGCAGGUGUGAUUCUGUUUGGGGAAAAACCUCAGCUUGCCCGGCAAAAAUUGUCAAAGAUUAACUUGAACAAUUACCAGGGAAUUGUUUCUUUUGUGAACAUUGACAAUGUCCAUUGGAAGUUUCUGUUCAUAUAUGCGGUCAACCACACAGUGUACCUGAUAGACCCAUCAAAAAGU
This is a long non-coding RNA of Carassius auratus (goldfish), 221 nucleotides long. RefSeq lists it as uncharacterized. The record is from RefSeq and is a predicted model, not a curated record. The transcript is spliced from 3 exons. NCBI's taxonomy places the organism in Eukaryota, Metazoa, Chordata, Actinopteri, Cypriniformes, Cyprinidae.